GAUGAACGCUAGCGGCAGGCCUAACACAUGCAAGUCGAGGGGUAGAGUUAGCUUGCUAACUUGAGACCGGCGCACGGGUGCGUAACGCGUAUGCAAUCUACCUUAUACUGAGGGAUAGCCCGGAGAAAUCCGGAUUAAUACCUUAUAGUAUAUUAAAGUGGCAUCAUUUUGAUAUUAAAGAUUUAUUGGUAUAAGAUGAG
This 200-nucleotide ribosomal RNA is filed under the name uncultured Flavobacteriaceae bacterium. RNAcentral describes it as "partial 16S ribosomal RNA". It matches the Rfam family "Bacterial small subunit ribosomal RNA", at positions 28 to 229 of the family's 1533-position model. Lineage: Bacteria; Pseudomonadati; Bacteroidota; Flavobacteriia; Flavobacteriales; Flavobacteriaceae. The record is from RNAcentral.